CUCUACAGCCAUACCACCUUGAAUGUUCCUAAUCUCAUCUGAUCUGGAAAGCUAAGCAGGGUCAGGCCUCGUUAGUACUUGGAUAAGAGAAACACACAAAAAUUCAAGAUAAUACAGU
This 118-nucleotide ribosomal RNA is filed under the name Jaculus jaculus (lesser Egyptian jerboa). The record is from RNAcentral. Lineage: Eukaryota; Metazoa; Chordata; Mammalia; Rodentia; Dipodidae.